GAUGAACGCUGGCGGCGUGCCUAAUACAUGCAAGUCGAGCGAACAGACGAGGAGCUUGCUCCUCUGACGUUAGCGGCGGACGGGUGAGUAACACGUGGAUAACCUCCCUAUAAGACUGGGAUAACUUCGGGAAACCGGAGCUAAUACCGGAUAAUAUAUUGAACCGCAUGGUUCAAUAGUGAAAGACGGUUUUGCUGUCACUUAUAGAUGUAUCCGCGCCGCAUUAGCUAGUUGGUAAGGUAACGGCUUACCAAGGCAACGAUGCGUAGCCGACCUGAGAGGGUGAUCGGCCACACUGGAACUGAGACACGGUCCAGACUCCUACGGGAGGCAGCAGUAGGGAAUCUUCCGCAAUGGGCGAAAGCCUGACGGAGCAACGCCGCGUGAGUGAUGAAGGUCUUCGGAUCGUAAAACUCUGUUAUUAGGGAAGAACAAAUGUGUAAGUAACUAUGCACGUCUUGACGGUACCCAAUCAGAAAGCCACGGCUAACUACGUG
This 497-nucleotide ribosomal RNA is filed under the name uncultured bacterium. Its description in RNAcentral is "partial 16S ribosomal RNA". It matches the Rfam family "Bacterial small subunit ribosomal RNA", at positions 28 to 507 of the family's 1533-position model. The record is from RNAcentral.